RNAcentral lists this ribosomal RNA (464 nucleotides) under uncultured bacterium. RNAcentral's name for it is "partial 16S ribosomal RNA". It matches the Rfam family "Bacterial small subunit ribosomal RNA", at positions 339 to 795 of the family's 1533-position model. The record is from RNAcentral.
CUACGGGCGGCACCAGUGGGGAAUAUUGCACAAUGGGCGCAAGCCUGAUGCAGCCAUGCCGCGUGUAUGAAGAAGGCCUUCGGGUUGUAAGGUACUUUCAGCGGGGAGGAAGGGAGUAAAGUUAAUACCUUUGCUCAUUGACGUUACCCGCAGAAGAAGCACCGGCUAACUCCGUGCCAGCAGCCGCGGUAAUACGGAGGGGGCAAGCGUUCAUCGGAAUUACUGGGCGUAAAGCGCACGCAGGCGGUUUGUUAAGUCAGAUGUGAAGUCCCCGGGCUCAACCUGGGAACUGCAUCUGAUACUGGCAAGCUUGAGUCUCGUAGAGGGAGGUAGAAUUCCAGGUGUAGUGGUGAAAUGCGUAGAGAUCUGGAGGAAUACCGGUGGCGAAGGCGGCCCCCUGGACGAAGACUGACGCUCAGGUGCGAAAGCGUGGGGAGCAAACAGGAUUAGAUACCCUUGUAGUC